This 261-nucleotide ribosomal RNA is filed under the name uncultured bacterium. RNAcentral's name for it is "partial 16S ribosomal RNA". It matches the Rfam family "Bacterial small subunit ribosomal RNA", at positions 335 to 611 of the family's 1533-position model. The record is from RNAcentral.
UGCCUACGGGGCGCAGCAGUGGGGAAUAUUGCACAAUGGGGGGAACCCUGAUGCAGCGACGCCGCGUGAAGGAAGAAGUAUUUCGGUAUGUAAACUUCUAUCAGCAGGGAAGAAAAAGGACGGUACCUGACUAAGAAGCCCCGGCUAACUACGGGCCAGCAGCCGCGGUAAUACGUAGGGGGCGAGCGUUAUCCGGAUUUACUGGGGGUAAAGGGGGGCGCAGACGGCCAGGGCAAGCCCGGUGUGAAAGGGGCGGGCACA